CCCACAGCCGGGAGACGGGUGUCAGCCAUAUGGGGGGCUUGGAGCGCGGCAGCUCGCGAGGCCGGCGAGAGGCGCGCGGAGGAACCCCUCAAUGAUACGAUGACGACACGACAGAUGGUCAAGUCGCUGUCGCGAGGCCCCUCCGAUGAUGAAACACGGUAAGCCGAGCACGACCAGACAGGCACCGUCGAGGAGCGACGCAGGUACAAACCUCACGUUCGUGACGGAGUCUCUAGCCGCAACAAGGCCGCGGACGGAAGGUUUUCCCACCAUUCAGCUGAGCUCACAAAGAGCUGACUGAUAAAAAAAACAAAAAACAAGGUGAAAUGGAUGAAGGCACUUGGUAUUUCUUCCCUUCUCUGUGUGAAAGGCCGUAUUUUCUGGUUGGGAAAUGACCAUGCACCAUGAAUUAUGGAUUUUCUUUUGUGGUUUUACAGCUGAAUUAUUCUGGCUGUGUUUGUGAGGUUAAUGUCCUCGUCAUUUUCGAAAGGAGCAGCUCCAGAGGGCACUACAUCACUGUGCGCCGAGAGAAAUGUGUAAUAUGCAACGGCAACGCAGGGACAUGACAAAGUGCUGAGGUGUCUUUUCCACAGAAGCGCGUCUACGCAUGUCGUGUAUUCAUAUUUGAUACCUGCUCAAUCUGAGUGAGGGGGAAAUUAAUACUACAAUCACUUUCAAAAAAUAGCUAGAGAGAGUUUUAUCUGCUUCAACAACGGAAGAAGCAUUCGUUCUUCACAGCGGACACUCAAAGAGGUUCCCUUUGGAUAUUAACUAUGAUACAAGCUGCGACUGCUAAAAUUCACCCUCACUCACUCACUCACUGUGGGCUUUUUUCUGUCAGCCAUGCUCUCGCCUAAGGCGGUGAGGUUUCCUCCCUGUCAAUCAUUUCAUUUCGCGGCCUCUGUGGCGUCCGUGGAGAUUCUCUAAGUGGCCGUAUCUAUGACAAGCAGAUAAACCAUUUUCCAGCCACACUUUAUUUUGAAAUUUGGUGUUCCUUCGGUGAAAUAUCACACUUCCAGGGCGAGCACUCACGACAAACAAAGACAACCACCUCUUUGUCUUCACUUCAUGCAGCUUUAAACUUGGUCACAGUAAUCGGUACAGAGUGCAAUGUGCAAAACGUUUCCCUGGUAUCCUCUUUCAAAAUGGACUUUUAUUUCCUUUUACAAAUAUGGGCAAAAAUUGUUUGCAGAGGCAAUUUUUCACAAGGGGAGGUUCUGCCUUGUUGCUGCUGUGCAGCUGCUUGCACUGGACCAGUCAAGUCAAAUUGCGUCGCUGUGAGGAAGAAAACACUUUGCAAGAACAAUCAAACGCCUGCUGCCACAUCCAAAUCUAAAGGACACGACGGUGCGCGGGAUUUGCAUCCAGCAUAGGCUGCACCUGCACCUGCAGCUCAUUGCAGCACCCGCAGUAGGGUGACGUAAUGCGAGGGGUGAACGCAACUCGACUCAGGCGCGCUGCAGUCAGUGGACAUUUGUCUGAGACUCUAAGGUCAUCGACUUUUGGUCAAAGUAAGAUUUCUGUUUUUUGUUUUUUUGGUUUUACGUGCACUGUUUUGGUUUACUGCUGUCUUCAACAGGGAAGCUCUCAAAAGUCGCUGUGCACUUCACGCCCCGCCACCAGCAGACGAACAGACGCAGUGAGCAACUAGCCGGUGAGCAUAUCGGAGGAUUCAGAUGAAGUUAGUACCUGUUUGAAUGAUAUAGACCCGACUUUUCCCUUAAAGAGGAGAGAGGAUAAAGUGUUUCAGUCCAGUGAAUAUCCGUCCAGGUGGAGAAACCAAACCGGCCUAAACUCUUCUUUAGCAACCUUCAAAGAAUCGGUUGUGAAAAAUAUUGUUCGCAGCUCCCGGUGUCCUCAUUCAUUUGGAUCUGACAUUAUUGCCUUGUGCCUCAUCCUCCCCACCACACGCAGCCGCCCGCCCCCACCGUCUAGUUCCCAGGUCACUGAUUGGUAAUCGGAGCUGUCUGACAGAAAGUGCCAACCUCCGUUGCUGUUGCCGCGCUCUGUCUGUUGUGAUGUGGAGAUGCGUGUUCAUUGGUAAUUUGCAUAAAUAACCCUUUGGGGGGAAUGAGCGACCCCGGGGCACUUGAUCCUCCUCCAACGGUCCAGUCCGUCCUUGGUGAUGAUCAGUGUGGAGAAAUGAUUAGAAGAGGCGGGGGGGGGGGGGGGGACCCACACUGCACGGCUGACUUCCAAGAGACAAUUAUUGCAUGAAAGAGUGGAAUUCUUUCAGGCUUUUCCUCUAAACUUGUCAUUUCUUGCAACCCCGAAACACAUUUCAACAAUGUCCCUGCUUGAGGAACAAUGACAUCCUCUGAAGCACACGGACUUGCGCGUUCAUCGCUGGAUGUUUAUACCGGCAGCCGCAAUGUCACGUCAAAGCCCAAGGUUCUGAAUCUGUGGCACUUGUUGACAGCAUCUCAGACUGGAGUUAAUUGGUGUAGAUGACCUGUCAAACCGGCAGCCUCGGGAGCAGAUGGAGCAGAAGCCUUGAGGUUGAUCAUCGCGGCUAUUAAUAGCAUCAACCGGCUGGAGCCUUUGGGCGAGCGGGAGGAGCAAAUACUUCAUGCAAAAUCCAAUCCUUCACCAGAACUGUGGGAUAACCCCGACAUGUAUUAUUCAGUGUUGUCUUUCCCUUGCCUGAAGAAACCUGUCAGCUUUUUGUGUUUGACCUGCUGUCUCCAGACGUCCUGCUUCCUAAGCCACGCUGCUGUUGAUUUACAGCUCUAUAGAUUUGACAAGGAAUUCUAAAAAUGUAGGGUGAAGAGGUGGCUGGCAGAUUUCACAGUGACACUUGGGUACAAAGCCUAAUGCAUGUUUUUGGUUCUGACCGAUUCAAUAUCGAGUCCAUUUCAAUGUUAGUGUACUUUGUAUGCACAAAGCCGGACUCCCACUUGUAAUUACCAGCAUCAGUCAGAAGCUGCACGUUUUUGUGGCAUGGGAAAAUUAAAUUAUUUUGUGUUUGACUUCUAACUUAAAGCAGAAGCUGCUCCGAUUCACAACUCGCCUGUUGAAUAAAAGGUUUGAUCCCAGUUGAUAAACUCUAUACAUCUUAAGUAAUCAGCGCCGGUUUCAUCUUAGGGACGUUCAAAGACAUGAUACAUAUCAUCUAAGAAAAACAUGAGACACAGUAGUCAAUUAGCAGUCUCACUAAAGAAGAGAAUCUGCACUAUUGAAUAUUGGAAACAAAUAGUACGUAACAUAAUUGGUUUAUCAGUAAAAGUGUUUCUUUUUCUCUGUGGCAGACUGACAUAUUUUCCUCUCAAAUGAUACAUCUAUUAUUUAUUUCACUCAAAAGAGUGUGGCAUCUAUGUUGACUUACCAUACAUGCAUGGUCUAUUGAGGUCUUGUUUCCCAGACAGCAAAAUUAAACUUCUGUCACAACAUAUGCCUGCCUCCUCGGCCCGAGUCUGGCUCACAUAAUUCCACAUCUGGGCCGAUUCCGGCUGCUCUCCUCCAGUGUUGGUUGACAGCCAGAAAGAGUUUCUGUUCCUGUCCCAGAAUCGGUCCAGAUAUGGAAGAAGCAUUUGACAGUCACGCUGUAUGAAGGGGCUACUUGGGCCGGGGAAAUGGGCAUAUGUUGAGCCAGAAAAAACACAAAUAUGUGGCCCGAGUAUUGGCAAAAAGAAUAAUCUUGCUCUCUGGGUUCGGAGAGCAAUGACUUGAUUGUGAGCUGACUGAAUUGUGGGUUAAUCCCUGAGGCACCAAUACAGGACGACUGUACGUAUGUUUUGACUGUGAUGUAAUGUGAUGUCGAUGUCAGCUCCUUUGCUUUUGGAUGGAGAAAUCAAAAUGUUGCCAGAGAAUUACAGUAAAAUAUAUCUAAAAGACUACAACUAAGAGAAAUGACUUCUCCAAGGCGAAGCAUGAGGGAUUUAUUUAUUUUAUGAAUUAAUGAUUUCUUUAGUCUGGCAAAAGUCAAACUAUAGUGCAUCAUAAGUUCGAGUCCCUUGAACCUACAAUAUCUGUAUUAACUAUGAAUGAUUUGUCUUUGGAUAAUAUUUUUGGACUAACAGUAAAACACAAAGAAAUUAAUGAAACCAUACAUUUGAAAAUAUGUCACAUAUUUAGUGUUUUAUAUGUUUAUUUUUUGGAUAAAUGAUUGAAAUACAGUCAUUAUCAACACUGUCAUUAUUGUUAUUUUAACUUAAUUUGCUAUUUAUGAAUAAUCACCUCGUCUUUCAGCUCCAGAUGGGACAAACAACUGCUUUCUUAUAUUAAUACUGCUGAUAAGUCAUGAGCAUACUGCCAUCGAGUCCUUUCCCUCCAGCGUCUGAACCGUUUAUGUGUUGGGGAAACCAUGCAUUCAGCACAGACCCUGCGGUGGGCAGCCUAUUAAACACACAUCAUCGGUAACAUGGAUAAUUGCUUCACAUGCAGCAUUUGAUUCUGUGACAGACGGGGCUGAUUGACAGGACGAGCCCCGUCAAUACGCGGUGACUCAUCCUGCCCGAAAAUGAUUGAGUAGCUAAUAUUCAGCCUGCCUGUGUGUGUGUGUGUGUGUAUGUGUGUCCGAAUUAAAGCGUCGGCUUUGGGUGGAUUGGAAAAUGAAUAGUGACAAGUGUAGAAAAUGGGUUGUCAAAGGUGGGGCUGUUUAAUCCUACCUAGAGCAAAUAUCAACAUUGAUCAAAACCAACAGAAUAGCUUCGAUUUACUCAGAUGGAUUAAUUGAUCAAUGUUGGCGGGAGCAAGAUUGACAGACACUUAAACAAGUUGAACCCCUUUAUUAAAAUCCCUAAUCAUAAUAUAGACUCUGAGUUGAAUCUUAUGUCCAACAACUACACUGGGUGCCCUCCAGCUGGUUCCUCUGAAAGACAUGGAAAUAAGAGCAGACUUAACUUAAUCGAAUCUGAUUUAUUCAUCUCUGACAGCUCCGUUAGUUAGAGGGAUGUUAUCCAGAGUAAACACAAGACUUUAAAAUCUUCUCGAAGGAAAAAUGCAUCCUCGUUCUCCAACUUGAUUAGUCAUCUCUGAUUGUACCACCAUUACAUUACAUUUAAGCGUUUACAAUUAUUUUGUUAUCGCACCUUGUCGCCACAGUGGCGGCAGUUCCUCUAAAGUGAAUGUGGGCUCAUUUUAAAUAAGACGUGACCUGGGAAAUGCUUCAACAUUUCAUCUUUUCUAGACUACAUACAAAGAACAAAUAUUCAUUUUCAAAAAGUCCAAUCUGUCCAUGGACUGUCAUGUGAUAGUAGGAAGUGACAGUAUUCCAACAGGAACAAUAUGGUGUGUUAUUGACUGAUUAAACCUUUGAAAUAUAUUGCCUCAGAUUGAGAUCUUGUAUGGUAAUUCAAAUAAAAAUACUGAAUAAAAUACCCCCAAAAAGACCUUUAAAAGAAAAUAGCUCAAAUUUAAAAGGACUCUAACUCUGUAUUUGUAGGAUUUUAAGAGUCGACUCUUCAAAAAAGUUGCCACCCUUUCGGUGGCCAUGAAGUGCAAACCACGACAGCAACUCACACAAUACAACAGCAUUAGUGAGACUGAAACCGAAAGGGUAGAUACGUAUCGGACACUGAUCCUCUUCCUGAUUGGUCGCAGUGUCUGUCAUUUACAUUUACCAAUCAGGAAGAUUUGUCACAUUGCGUUAUCAUUCCAGUGAUAAUGCAGUGAGGGCAAUACAUAAGUUAAAAUCUAACAUAAAGUUAUAUUACAACAUUAUGUUUUUAUUGAGAUUAUUGAAAGCAGAGAGAGCUCUUCCCUGAUAUAAAACAUGUUCGGUCUCUUCCUGGGGCUGACAGUGCUGGUGGUAUCCUGCGGCACCAGACUGUGAAAUGAUGACAUUCUCACAGAUGUGCAUGAACGAGGAAGAGGCGAAGGAGACGGCUGGGUGGGUUGAUUUGCCACUUGGGUUUCUUGUCAAGUACAGCUGCUCCAGACUGUUUUUUUUGUGUGUGUGUGACUCACAUCAAACCUCCUUUAUUCAAAGUCAACGGCAGCAGCAGCUCUUUGUCCCCAACACUCUGGUCUUUUAUAUAAGCAGCAGAGCGAUGUCAAAUGUAACAGGCGCUAAGGAUUAAAAAAAAAAAUCUGUAUAUGUUUUGAGAAUGUUUUCCUAUGAAACAUAAAAACCUGACUUUGGGCUCAGGUGCACAGAGAAUGGCAUGCCUUGUAUCGGAUGGACGUGCACAUAGAUUUAUGAUUCAUGACAUGCAAUGUGGAGGGAAAUAUCAAUUUUUUUUUCUCUUCAUGCUUGGGAGGCAACGGCUCAUUUCCCUCAUGCAAAUGAAAGCUUCAAGCGAAAGGGGAAGGCAAAUGCUAUUGGAAGGCUGACAGUGCUGUGUGGAAAAUGUUGUGUGACCAGUGCUGAGACCAGCACAGUCCCCCAGUGUGUGCCACU
Scophthalmus maximus (turbot) is the source of this 6340-nucleotide long non-coding RNA. RefSeq lists it as uncharacterized. Lineage: Eukaryota; Metazoa; Chordata; Actinopteri; Pleuronectiformes; Scophthalmidae. The transcript is spliced from 3 exons. The record is from RefSeq and is a predicted model, not a curated record.